This 1039-nucleotide long non-coding RNA is filed under the name Gossypium raimondii (Peruvian cotton). Its description in RNAcentral is "long non-coding RNA (GRAI_LNC005080)". The record is from RNAcentral. Lineage: Eukaryota; Viridiplantae; Streptophyta; Magnoliopsida; Malvales; Malvaceae.
GGGGUAGGAGGUGGAGGUGGCACUCCAGGUAAUGGGGGAAGGGGUGGAUGAGGGACAUCAAACAUUGAUGAGGGUGGUGGAGGUGGAGGAGGUGAGACACUAGACAUCGAUGGGGGUGAUGAAGGUGGGACACUAGACACCAAUUGGGGUGGUGGAGAUGGAGGUGAGGCACUAGUUGAAAAAGUGGUUGAUAAAGGUGAAGGAGGAAGUGAAGCACUAGAUAUCGAUGGGGGAGGAGGUUGGGUGUUAGAUGUUGAUGGGGGCGGUGGAGAUGGAGGAGGUGGGGCACUAGUCGUCAAAGUGGUUGGUGAAGGAGGAGGUGGGGUGCUAGAUAUUGAUGGGGGUGGUGGAGAUGGAGGAGGUGGAGGGAGUAGGGCACUAGUCAUCAAAGUAUUUGGUGAAGGUGAAGGAGGAAUUGAAGCACUAGACAUCGAUGGGGGAGGAGGUGGGGUGCUAGAUAUUGAUGGGGGUGGUGGAGAUGGAGGAGCUGGGGUACUAGUCAUCGAAGUGGUUGGUGAAGGAGGAGGUGGGGUGCUAGAUAUUGAAGAAGGUGGUGGAGAUGGAGGAGGUAGGGCACUAGUUGUCAAAGUGGUUGGUGAAGGAGAACGAGGAAUUGAAGCACUAGACAUCGAUGAGGGAAGAGGUUGGAUGCUAGAUAUUGAUAGGGGUGAUGGAGACAAAAGAGGUGGGGCACUAGUCGUUGCAGAGGGUGGUGAAGAUGGAGGAGGAAGUGGGGCAGUAGACAUCAAUGUGGGAGGUGGAGAUGGUAGUGAAGGUGAAGGAGGUGGGGCACUAGUCAUCAAAGUGGUUGGCGAAAGUGAAAGAGGAAGUGGAGCACUAGAUACCGACGGGGGAGGAAGUGGGGUGUUAGAUAUUGAUGGGGGUGGUGGAGAUGGAGGAGGUGGGGCACUAGUUGUCAAAAAGGGUGGUGAAGGUGGAGCAGGAAACGAGGCAGUAGACAUCAAUAGGGGAGGUGGAGAUGGUGGUGGAAUUGAAGGAGGUAAGGCACUAGUAACCGAAGAAGGUGGUGAAGGUGGAG